RNAcentral lists this microRNA precursor (61 nucleotides) under Pristionchus pacificus. RNAcentral describes it as "mir-8364 microRNA precursor family". It matches the Rfam family "mir-8364 microRNA precursor family". Lineage: Eukaryota; Metazoa; Nematoda; Chromadorea; Rhabditida; Neodiplogasteridae. The record is from Rfam by way of RNAcentral.
UCUUCAUUUCACACACACAUUCACCGGUCAGAGUGACGAGAUAGUGUGUGAAAUGAAGAGA